CACCCAACAACAACAACAACAACAUUCAUUCGUUAUUUUUCUAUUUUCUAUUCGGCAACAGCUGGAAGAAUGCGGACAACUCCAUUCACCGGCGGGAGAUUGGAAAACAAUUUGGAACGAGCCGAGCCAACCGCCACAUGUCGGCACAAGUCGACAUUGCGGUUCACUGUCCGUCCGUCCAACAACAACAACAAAAUGGCGCAUUUUUCAUCCGGAGGAUUUUACGAUCUCAUCUUCUUGUCGAGGCGUAUAAUAUUUUGUGUACGUGUGUGAGUCUCUAUGGAACCUCAUCAUCAUCAUCCGACUGGCCCAGAGGAAAAACAUUUGGAUUUUUUUGUUUUUUUGUUUCUCCGCACUGUUGGCAGAUAACGAGCAAAAAAUAAGUUUCAACAAGAAAAGGCCAUCCAUCCAUCAACCGAUGGACUUUUUGUGAAUUUCCGUCAGGUGCCAAUGUCGACCGAUACGAUAAAAAACAAUCUAGUCCAUUUGAAAAAUAACAAAACUGUUUGAAAGUGAGGGGGGGGAUUCCGGUUUGAUAGCGAUCCAGCUCCGGAAUGUUGUUAUUCCGUUUUCACAGGUUUCUUCUUCCUUUUGGAAAAAGCGAAAGUCACGUGAUAUCCGAUUCUCCCACACAGCCGGUAACUAAGGAAAAAAGAAGCC
This is a long non-coding RNA of Daphnia pulicaria, 660 nucleotides long. RefSeq lists it as uncharacterized. The record is from RefSeq and is a predicted model, not a curated record. The transcript has 4 exons. NCBI's taxonomy places the organism in Eukaryota, Metazoa, Arthropoda, Branchiopoda, Diplostraca, Daphniidae.